Molecule: ribosomal RNA, 689 nt
Filed under: uncultured Lachnospiraceae bacterium
Lineage: Bacteria; Bacillati; Bacillota; Clostridia; Lachnospirales; Lachnospiraceae
Description: bacterial SSU rRNA
Rfam family: Bacterial small subunit ribosomal RNA
Source: RNAcentral
CUUAACACAUGCAAGUCGAACGAAGCUGCUUAACAGAUUUCCUUCGGGAUUGAUGUUUUGUAGACUGAGUGGCGGACGGGUGAGUAACGCGUGGGUAACCUGCCCUGUACAGGGGGAUAACAAUCAGAAAUGACUGCUAAUACCGCAUAAGACCACAGCACCGCAUGGUGCAGGGGUAAAAACUCCGGUGGUACAGGAUGGACCCGCGUCUGAUUAGCUGGUUGGUGAGGUAACGGCUCACCAAGGCGACGAUCAGUAGCCGGCUUGAGAGAGUGAACGGCCACAUUGGGACUGAGACACGGCCCAAACUCCUACGGGAGGCAGCAGUGGGGAAUAUUGCACAAUGGGGGGAACCCUGAUGCAGCGACGCCGCGUGAGUGAAGAAGUAUCUCGGUAUGUAAAGCUCUAUCAGCAGGGAAGAAAAUGACGGUACCUGACUAAGAAGCCCCGGCUAACUACGUGCCAGCAGCCGCGGUAAUACGUAGGGGGCAAGCGUUAUCCGGAAUUACUGGGUGUAAAGGGUGCGUAGGUGGUAUGGCAAGUCAGAAGUGAAAACCCAGGGCUUAACUCUGGGACUGCUUUUGAAACUGUCAGACUGGAGUGCAGGAGAGGUAAGCGGGAUUCCUAGUGUAGCGGUGAAAUGCGUAGAUAUUAGGAGGAACAUCAGUGGCGAAGGCGGCUUACUGGAC